Long non-coding RNA from Canis lupus familiaris (dog), 460 nucleotides. RefSeq lists it as uncharacterized. NCBI's taxonomy places the organism in Eukaryota, Metazoa, Chordata, Mammalia, Carnivora, Canidae. The record is from RefSeq and is a predicted model, not a curated record. The transcript is spliced from 3 exons.
GGGGUGAUCAGAGUAUCUACAUCGUUGGAUUGUUGCAAUGAUUAAAUGAGUGAAGUAUGUGAAGGGUACAGAGCAGUUGGCUUCCAAAUAGGAAGUGCUGUGUAAGUCACUAAAACGUGAUGAGUUAUACAUUAUUAUCCCCAUUUAUGGACAAGGAAACUGGAAAGACACAGUUUGAGAAACCUAAGGUUGCAGAAGAAGGAAGUCAAACACCAGAAUUCCAGAUCAGGCCUUCCCGACUCCAAGAUCAAUGUCCUUAAUCAUUAUGGGCCAUUAACCUUUCUGAAUCCCAUGGAGAAUAUUUAAUACUUUUCGCCAGAUUCAAGAUGUCCAAAGACUCUAAGGCUCAGACUGACAGUGUAUUUGUAGAGGGUGAAAGCAGUGUCUUUACAGCAAAAGCAGCAGAGGGAGAGAUGUCUUUCUUAAGAAGGUGAGAGACAAAUGUCAUCAAGAUAUCCUU